Molecule: ribosomal RNA, 642 nt
Filed under: Triticum aestivum (bread wheat)
Lineage: Eukaryota; Viridiplantae; Streptophyta; Magnoliopsida; Poales; Poaceae
Description: partial small subunit ribosomal RNA
Source: RNAcentral
AUGUUCAGAGCUACUUAUGCUGAGAACCUCCCAGCUCUAGAAGGCAAGCAACAGUGGGACAUUAUAGAUCCUGGAUUCAAAUUGUGUGCUCCUCUUCAACAUAGAGCUCCAGGCAGACCAAGAAAGCAAAGGAUUAGAAGUAGCACUGAAGGAAAAGGCCUUGGUCCUAGGAAGCACAAGUGCAAAAGGUGUGGGAGAUGUGGACACAAAGCCAAGGGCUGCAAACAAUCUGUUGAUCCAGCCUUUGGAGAAGAUGAACAUUGGGGAGCAGACAAUGCAGAUGAUCAUCGUACAGCCAAUGAACCAGCAGAAGCAGAAAUACAACAGGAGGAGGAGGAGGAUGAGACAACACCUGAUGUUCUUCAGCAGCAGAUGGCACCACCAAAGGAGCCAUCACAUGAUGCAUCUACAGGAGCUAGUUGUGCAGUCAGCCCUAGGAAAAAUUAUAAAAGGGCAGCAGCAAGAGGAGCUUCUCCAAGGUGUGUCAAGCAGAAAACAGUUGUGGAACAGGAGCAAGAAAGCAGUGUUCAAAGAGCAGUAGCAGCAGUUGAACCUCCAAACCCAGCCAAGAACACUAGAAGCAAGGCAAUGCUAGCUCCAAACCAGGCCAAGAACACUAGGAGCAAGAAACUUAAGUUCUAG